UAGCAUGUUUGGAUUUUAUGAUC
This 23-nucleotide non-coding RNA is filed under the name Arabidopsis thaliana (thale cress). The record is from RNAcentral. Lineage: Eukaryota; Viridiplantae; Streptophyta; Magnoliopsida; Brassicales; Brassicaceae.